GCCCACCACCUAGCUCAGCCCAACCCUCAAAAAAUAAAACUAAUAAACCCAAAACAUUUGCCACGCUAAGUAUAUGAGAUAGAACAGCACUAUUGACGCAAUAGCCCACGCCGUACCACAAGGAAACAGUGAAAGAAUAAUCAAACAACUAAGCACAGAAAAGCAGGAAUUACACCCCGUACCUCUAGCAUCAUGGUUUAGCAAGCAAAAGCAGAUACAGAGCACUUAAACCUGCCCCCCCGAACCCGGACGAGCUACCUAAGGACAGCCUAUGGGGCCAACCCAUCUCUGUGGCAAAAGAGUGGGAAGAUCCUCAGGUAGAGGUGAAACGCCAACCGAGCCCGGUAAUAGCUGGUUGCUCAUUAAAUGAAUCUAAGUUCAACUCUAGCACCAUAUAAUACCAACAAAUACCAAGGCUAGAAGAUACGCCACAGGGGACCAGCUCUGUGGCAACUGGAUACAGCCAAAACUAGAGGGCCACUACCCAAACACCAUCCCGUGGGCCUUCAAGCAGCCACCAAUAACAACCGCGUCAAAGCGGACCUUCAUAUAAUCCAACAGACAAACUUAACCCCCUAACACAAACUGAGCUACCCUAUAUAAAAAUAGGGGCACCACUGCUAAAACUAGUAAUAUGGGCACGCCCUACUUGCACCUGCUUACGUAUAAACAAUUAACAUGCCACUACAUGCCAACCAGGAACCCAUGUCUCAGUCAGCUUGUUACCCCGACACAGGACUGCAACAUUAAGAUUAACAGCCACAGAAGGAACUCGGCUAACGUACCCCACCUGUUUACCAAAAACACCGCCUUUAGCCUUACAAGUAUUAAAGGUCCCGCCUGCCCAGUGAAACUUAUUUUUUUAACGGCCGCGGUAUCCUAACCGUGCAAAGGUAGCGCAAUCACUUGUCCCCUAAAUAGGGACCCGUAUGAAUGGCUAACUGAGGGUACAACUGUCUCCUGCGGCCAAUCAAUGAAACUGAUCCCCCAGUACAAAAGCUGGGAUUUUAACACAAGACGAGAAGACCCUGUGGAACUUUUAACGUAUCCACUACCACCACACAAGCCUAUAACUGGGCCAAAACCUUCUGCAAUAGUGGACACUUUAAGUUGGGGCGACUGCGGAGCAAAACAAACCCUCCGUGAAACAGGGCUCACCGCCUUUCAAGGCAAACACGCCUACAAAACCAACCAUAUGACCCAGAUAACUGAGCAACGAACCAAGCUACCCCAGGGAUAACAGCGCCAUCCCCCCUAAGAGUCCAUAUCGAUGGGGGGGUUUACGACCUCGAUGUUGGAUCAGGACCCCCAAGUGGUGCAGCCGCUACUAAAGGCCCGUUUGUUCAACGGUUAAUGUCCUACGUGAUCUGAGUUCAGACCGGAGCAAUCCAGGUCGGUUUCUACCUGUGCCAUAUCUUCUUUAGUACGAAAGGACCAAGAAGACAGUGCCAAUACCACACGCAAGCACUGCUCAUGCGAGCUGAACAAAAAUAAAGCUGAAUCUGACGUCCCCCACGUCCGAUACAAGGACUA
This 1533-nucleotide ribosomal RNA is filed under the name Cyrtodactylus chanhomeae. RNAcentral's name for it is "16S ribosomal RNA". It matches the Rfam family "Bacterial large subunit ribosomal RNA", at positions 274 to 2830 of the family's 2925-position model. Lineage: Eukaryota; Metazoa; Chordata; Lepidosauria; Squamata; Gekkonidae. The record is from RNAcentral.